UCUUAGCCAGUCUAAGCUGGCUAGCAAUCUUGCUGCCAAUUUAGUGACGCUAGUUAGCUAUCAUCAAGCUGACAAUAUUGAAAUGUCCAUGUUAGGUAUGCUUAGCUAGCCAGUCUAAUAGAGAUCAAUACAAUUAGUGGGAUGGUUAAAUUGUGUAUUGUUGUGUGUUUUGUUGUAGGUGGUACAGAAUCUGAUUCCACCAACGUGUGCUCCCAACCCCUAGCUCUGCACAAAGUGAAGGUUAUCUGGAGUCAUUCCACAGUGCCCUGCUGAAAACUACCCCAAAGCGGGGGCAUUUUGGGUACACAAGCAUGAGGGAGCGGACACACCUUGAGGUUAUGGAGCACAACAAGAUUGUGGGACAGAAACCAGCAAGGGACACUGAAAGGAGACGUGCAGUACCAGCAAAUCUUCUGCAAGAGGACCAAACAGUUGGUGGUUAAGGAGUUGUACACUACUUUCGGUAGAGUCUUAUCCAGCUGGCCAUUCACCACAGACAGGACAAGCCCAUCACCAUAAGCACAAAGAGUCUCAGCUUCCCCAGCCCACCAUUGCGAGUGUACCGAAGCCGGAUAAAGGGCAAUGGCUGCGUUUACACAGGC
Long non-coding RNA from Coregonus clupeaformis (lake whitefish), 602 nucleotides. RefSeq lists it as uncharacterized. The record is from RefSeq and is a predicted model, not a curated record. Lineage: Eukaryota; Metazoa; Chordata; Actinopteri; Salmoniformes; Salmonidae. The transcript has 3 exons.